GAGACAGAAAGCCAAAUACGUAUUCUCUUUCUUUGGGCUUUGGGGAUUGGAUGAGUAGCUGAAUUCGAGAAGACAAGGCCAUAUCGUGUGUCGAUAUUCUUCCUUUGCUUGCGUUAUAGCCUCCAAAACAUUAGGUUCUUAUCCAGUCACCACCUUUUAGAUACUCACAUCUCGAUUUUCGAAACUUUUGGGAUCAGGGGCAAAGCUACUAACUAGCCAUGUCUUCAUCUUUGCCAGUUCUUCCUACCCCUCUUGAAGACAAGUACCCUAAAUUACCUGAUUCUUUCCAGGUUACUUCAGAAAGGGAGAUGAUAAGAAACCCAUUACCUCAACAGGCG
This 338-nucleotide unclassified non-coding RNA is filed under the name Hevea brasiliensis (rubber tree). The record is from RNAcentral. Lineage: Eukaryota; Viridiplantae; Streptophyta; Magnoliopsida; Malpighiales; Euphorbiaceae.